Molecule: non-coding RNA, 207 nt
Organism: Pelobates cultripes (western spadefoot toad)
Lineage: Eukaryota; Metazoa; Chordata; Amphibia; Anura; Pelobatidae
Source: the annotation of a GenBank genome assembly
GCCUGGCGUUAUGGGAGGGUUAUUCUUUUGCUGGCCUCUACCUAAACCCCUCCCAGUUUCCUCCUGAUGUUCUGCUGACAUUUUGGAACCUUACCCACCUCUCCCUGAUUUUACUCUUUCAAUAGGUCUGCCCUCUUUUUUCUGGCCUACAGCAUUUGUCGGUUUUGGCACACCACAACUAACUUGUGGUAUAGCUCAAACCUUUUU